This 761-nucleotide ribosomal RNA is filed under the name Prevotella melaninogenica. RNAcentral describes it as "bacterial SSU rRNA". It matches the Rfam family "Bacterial small subunit ribosomal RNA", at positions 28 to 776 of the family's 1533-position model. The record is from RNAcentral. Lineage: Bacteria; Pseudomonadati; Bacteroidota; Bacteroidia; Bacteroidales; Prevotellaceae.
GAUGAACGCUAGCUACAGGCUUAACACAUGCAAGUCGAGGGGAAACGGCAUUUAGUGCUUGCACCGAAUGGACGUCGACCGGCGCACGGGUGAGUAACGCGUAUCCAACCUACCCAUUACUGUGGGAUAACCUGCCGAAAGGCAGACUAAUACCGCAUAGUCUUCGAUGACGGCAUCAGAUUUGAAGUAAAGAUUUAUCGGUAAUGGAUGGGGAUGCGUCUGAUUAGCUUGUUGGCGGGGUAACGGCCCACCAAGGCGACGAUCAGUAGGGGUUCUGAGAGGAAGGUCCCCCACAUUGGAACUGAGACACGGUCCAAACUCCUACGGGAGGCAGCAGUGAGGAAUAUUGGUCAAUGGACGAGAGUCUGAACCAGCCAAGUAGCGUGCAGGAUGACGGCCCUAUGGGUUGUAAACUGCUUUUGUAUGGGGAUAAAGUCAAUCACGUGUGAUUGUUUGCAGGUACCAUACGAAUAAGGACCGGCUAAUUCCGUGCCAGCAGCCGCGGUAAUACGGAAGGUCCGGGCGUUAUCCGGAUUUAUUGGGUUUAAAGGGAGCGUAGGCCGGAGAUUAAGUGUGUUGUGAAAUGUAGACGCUCAACGUCUGACUUGCAGCGCAUACUGGUUUCCUUGAGUACGCACAACGUUGGCGGAAUUCGUCGUGUAACGGUGAAAUGCUUAGAUAUGACGAAGAACUCCGAUUGCGAAGGCAGCUGACGGGAGCGCAACUGACGCUUAAGCUCGAAGGUGCGGGUAUCGAACAGG